ACGUCUUUUGUGCUCUUGAGCUUGACUCCUUAGGGUAGCUCAUUUUGAACUGCUUUCCAAGUAAACAUCCUUCACAUACUUGAUUGGGGUGGUUGAUGUAAGGCAAUCCUCUGACCAUUUCCUUCUUAGAGAGCAACUCUAAUCCUCCAAAAUUGAGAUGCCCAAAUCGAAGAUGCCAAAACCAUGACUCUUCUUUGUAGCACAUUUUGAGACAUUGCGCAACAUCAUUUUGUAUGUUGAGCACGAACAUUCUAUUUCUUGACAUUAGCACCUUAGCAAUGAACUUGUUUGAGUGAUCUCUUAUAGAAAG
RNAcentral lists this long non-coding RNA (310 nucleotides) under Trifolium pratense (red clover). RNAcentral's name for it is "long non-coding RNA (TPRA_LNC002250)". The record is from RNAcentral. Lineage: Eukaryota; Viridiplantae; Streptophyta; Magnoliopsida; Fabales; Fabaceae.